This is a long non-coding RNA of Vigna angularis (adzuki bean), 535 nucleotides long. RefSeq lists it as uncharacterized. The transcript is spliced from 3 exons. NCBI's taxonomy places the organism in Eukaryota, Viridiplantae, Streptophyta, Magnoliopsida, Fabales, Fabaceae. The record is from RefSeq and is a predicted model, not a curated record.
UCUAAAACUCAAGUCUUUAUCUUUUCUCCUCCUUUUCUCUAGAAAUUCUUCAUCCCCUUUCAUUCUUUUCUUCAACCAACCACUGUUUAAGCAAACUAGGAGUCAAGAUCAUUGUUUUCCACCGAUCAAAAUCAAGCUUAGAGUUGGUGGUCUUUUCUCACAAAUCGAUGAACUGUAGGCGUUCAUAGGAAUUUCUAGUGGUGAUCGAGUUUGCAAUUGUUGAAGUUGUUCGGUCCGAUUAAGAGGUGUGAGCAGAGUGUGCAGAAGAUAUUUUAGAGCAUGCGUUGGCAGGAGAGGGGGUUUUCCGCUAAGAGUAAGAACGUUCGGUCUUGUAUUUGUUUCUGUUUUUAGUAUAGGACCGUUCGAUGUAAUACAUUGUUGUAGGACCGUUCGGUUAAUACACCUCUUGUAUGACCGAUCGAUCUGCUUUUAUGAUUUGUAUUAGUAUAAGUUUCUGUAAAGUUUUAAUUUAUGAUUAUUUUAGGAUAACUGUAAGUUAGCUUUAUUUUCUGUAACUCUUCUAUUUUAUUGUUAA